RNAcentral lists this ribosomal RNA (466 nucleotides) under uncultured bacterium. Its description in RNAcentral is "partial 16S ribosomal RNA". It matches the Rfam family "Bacterial small subunit ribosomal RNA", at positions 28 to 507 of the family's 1533-position model. The record is from RNAcentral.
GAUGAACGCUGGCGGCGUGCUUAACACAUGCAAGUCGAACGGUGAAGCCCAGCUUGCUUGGUGGAUCAGUGGCGAACGGGUGAGUGACACGUGAGCAACCUGCCCUGGACUCUGGGAUAAGCGCUGGAAACGGCGUCUAAUACUGGAUAUGAGCCUCUUCCGCACGGUGGGGGUUGGAAAGAUUUUCUGGUCUGGGAUGGGCUCGCGGCCUAUCAGCUUGUUGGUGAGGUAGUGGCUCACCAAGGCGUCGACGGGUAGCCGGCCUGAGAGGGUGACCGGCCACACUGGGACUGAGACACGGCCCAGACUCCUACGGGAGGCAGCAGUGGGGAAUAUUGCACAAUGGGCGGAAGCCUGAUGCAGCAACGCCGCGUGAGGGAUGACGGCCUUCGGGUUGUAAACCUCUUUUAGCAGGGAAGAAGCGAAAGUGACGGUACCUGCAGAAAAAGCGCCGGCUAACUACGUG